GCUCAAGUAAACACACUUAGUCAACAGAUCUAAAAAUGAGGGUACUUUUUAUAUGGCUUUCCAAAUACCGUUUCGAUCCCUAACAUCACUGAAGAGACAUUUAUUGUCGAAAUCCGGAUAUGGUGUACUAAAGAAAUAUUGACACCGAAUGUUUGUUUCAAUUUAGACUCGUAUAUAUAUAUAUGUGUACUGAAACGGGCC
RNAcentral lists this long non-coding RNA (201 nucleotides) under Mytilus galloprovincialis (Mediterranean mussel). The record is from RNAcentral. Lineage: Eukaryota; Metazoa; Mollusca; Bivalvia; Mytilida; Mytilidae.